AUGGCCGGCAGCAUCUUGGAGGAGAGCUCGGUGCUGUUCCGGUGUGGUACAGGCCAGAGUGAUGAUUCUGACAUUUGGAAUGAUGCAGCACUGAUAAAACCUUAUGAUAAAGCUCUGGCUUCAUUUAAGUGGAAAGCUGGUGACAAACGUUCUGCCAUUUGGUCAGAAGAUGGUUGCAUUUACCCACCUACCAUUGCUUCAAUUGAUUUUAAGAGACAAACCUGUGUUGUGGUUUAUACUGUAUAUGGAAAUAGGAGCAAAAUCUGUCUGAUCUUCUUUCCCCAACCUCUGAAAUAGCUAAUAAUAUAGAACAGAAUGCUCAAGAGAAUGAAAAUGAAAGUCAAGUUUCAACAGAUGAAAGUGAGAGCUCCAGGUCUCCUGGAAAUAAACCAAACAUCAAAAGCUACUCCAUGGAACUCUUUUCUCCCUCCACCUUCCCCACAUCCCAGGGGCAGGUCUAGGACCAGGAAAGCCAGGUUUAAAAUUCAAUGGCCGGCUGCCACAGCCCAAACCUCCACACUUCCUGUCAUGCUGGCUGCCUCCAUUUCCUUGUGGAGCACCAAUAAUUCCCCCCCACAACCUCCCAUAUGUCCAGAUUCUCUUUAUGAUACUGAUGCUUUAGGAAGUAUGUUAAUCUCUUGGUACAUGAGUGGCUAUCAUACUGUAUACUAAAUGGGUUUCAGACAAAAAUCAAAAAGAAGGUGCUCACAUUCCAAUUAA
Molecule: RNA transcript, 720 nt
Organism: Lemur catta (Ring-tailed lemur)
Lineage: Eukaryota; Metazoa; Chordata; Mammalia; Primates; Lemuridae
Gene name: survival motor neuron protein-like
Exons: 1
Source: RefSeq, a predicted model, not a curated record